AUCCAAAUUGUUAUCCGGAUUAUUUCACAAGCAAAAAUUGUAUCUAAUAUUCAGGUCUAAUGUGUUAAUGGAAUAUUUGAGCAUUUAAUGUCUUAACACUAAUAUAAUUGUGUUGCUAUAAAACUGAGGGUAACGUCCAAUUAAUCACAUUGUGCUAUCGCACUUUGCAUUAAUUGAACAUAGCAUAACAAAUGAAAGUCUGUUGAAAAGUUAGCUAAAAAUCAUGAGUUUAUGCUCAUGUCACCACGUGACUCUCAUGUGUUCUCGUAUCAUUUUUCAAGUUUUGUCAACAUGUUACAUUGGAAUUAUUUAAUUUAAUUUGAUGUUUUCGUGAUUGUUAAAUAACAUUGAAAUGGCAUCUUCUUUAAAAGGUAUGGUUGCCUUCAUCACAGGAGCAUCGUCUGGCUUAGGAAAGGCUACAAUGCUUCAUCUUUUAUCUAAAGGAGCUGCUGGUUGCUACUCUUAUGAUCUUCAAGCUUUUCCUGAGGCCGAUAAACAAAAUUUUGAAAAUAAAAUUGGUUUUAAGCGAGGUGAUAUUCGUGAUUCCGACUCAGUUACUUUAGCUCUCGCUGAUUGUAAAAAUAAAUUUGGCAAGAUAGAUGCGGUAAUCAACUGUGCCGCUGUUUCGGUUGCUUUUAGACUGUUCAAUUACAAAACUGGUGUUCCUCAGAAGCUGAUUGACUUCCAAACAACAUUGGAUAUUAACGUGAUUGGGACAUAUAAUGUUUGUCGGUUGGCUUUAUCACAUCUUUCUAGAAACCCACUUGAUCCAGUAACAGGAACGCGAGGAAUCAUCAUUAAUACUUCAGGAAUAGCCGGACAAGAUGGACAAAUCGGUCAAACCACUUAUGCUGCAUCAGCUGGAGCCAUUGAUAGUUUAACUAAUCCUUUGGCUCGAGAAAUCGCACCAAAACGAAUAAGAUGUGUUACAAUUUCAGUAGGUUACUUUGAUACUCCAGUUCUAGCGACACUUCCAGACUGGGCCAAACAAUAUUUAAUCAAUUACACAGCAUCACCUAAAAUACUUGGAAAACCUGAGCAUUAUGCUACCAUGGUGGAACAAAUCAUAACGAAUUCAUUUCUAAACAUGACAACUAUCAACUUAGAUGCUGGGAUGAGGCCUAAAGUUUUUAAAGCUUAGUUAGCUUACUAACCAGCCUUUUCACUUCCAAUUCUGUCUAUUGUAUCAAUCAAGUCAAUAAAUGUACAAAGUAUGAUUUUUCAGGUGUAUGUCUCACCUGACCAAUCAUGAAAUAGAAACAAUUCUUAACAGACAAGA
Molecule: RNA transcript, 1279 nt
Organism: Tetranychus urticae (two-spotted spider mite)
Lineage: Eukaryota; Metazoa; Arthropoda; Arachnida; Trombidiformes; Tetranychidae
Gene name: 3-hydroxyacyl-CoA dehydrogenase type-2 pseudogene
Source: RefSeq, a predicted model, not a curated record